GACGAACGCUGGCGGCGUGCUUAACACAUGCAAGUCGAACGGAAAGGCCCUGCUUGCAGGGUACUCGAGUGGCGAACGGGUGAGUAACACGUGGGUGAUCUGCCCUGCACUUCGGGAUAAGCCUGGGAAACUGGGUCUAAUACCGGAUAGGAGCCAUUUUUAGUGUGAUGGUUGGAAAGUUUUUUCGGUGUAGGAUGAGCUCGCGGCCUAUCAGCUUGUUGGUGGGGUAAUGGCCUACCAAGGCGGCGGCGGGUAGCCGGCCUGAGAGGGUGGACGGCCACAUUGGGACUGAGAUACGGCCCAGACUCCUACGGGAGGCAGCAGUGGGGAAGAUUGCACAAUGGGCGCAAGCCUGAUGCAGCGACGCCGCGUGGGGGAUGACGGCCUUCGGGUUGUAAACUCCUUUCGCUAGGGACGAAGCUUUUUGUGACGGUACCUAGAUAAGAAGCACCGGCUAACUACGUG
RNAcentral lists this ribosomal RNA (465 nucleotides) under uncultured bacterium. RNAcentral describes it as "partial 16S ribosomal RNA". It matches the Rfam family "Bacterial small subunit ribosomal RNA", at positions 28 to 507 of the family's 1533-position model. The record is from RNAcentral.